RNAcentral lists this ribosomal RNA (460 nucleotides) under uncultured bacterium. Its description in RNAcentral is "partial 16S ribosomal RNA". It matches the Rfam family "Bacterial small subunit ribosomal RNA", at positions 338 to 795 of the family's 1533-position model. The record is from RNAcentral.
CCUACGGGUGGCAGCAGUGAGGAAUAUUGGUCAAUGGACGAGAGUCUGAACCAGCCAAGCAGCGUGAAGGAUGACUGCUCUAUGGGUUGUAAACUUCUUUUAUAUGGGAAUAAAUUGUUCUACGUGUGGGGUUUUGAAUGUAUCAUACGAAUAAGGAUCGGCUAACUCCGUGCCAGCAGCCGCGGUAAUACGGAGGAUUCGAGCGUUAUCCGGAUUUAUUGGGUUUAAAGGGUGCGUAGGUGGAUUGUUAAGUCAGUUGUGAAAGUUGGCGGCUCAACCGUGAAAUUGCAGUUGAUACUGGCAGGCUUGAGUGCAGUAGAGGUAGGCGGAAUGCGUGGUGUAGCGGUGAAAUGCUUAGAGAUCACGAAGAACACCGAUGGCGAAGGCAGCUUACUGGACUGCAACUGACGCUGAGGCACGAAAGUGUGGGUAGCAAACAGGAUUAGAUACCCGUGUAGUC